This is a non-coding RNA of Triticum urartu, 2472 nucleotides long. The record is from RefSeq and is a predicted model, not a curated record. NCBI's taxonomy places the organism in Eukaryota, Viridiplantae, Streptophyta, Magnoliopsida, Poales, Poaceae.
UUGCUGGUUGCAGGAAGAAUCCUCGGGCGUUGCCCGACAAGUACAUGAGUGCAAGCACAACGUAACAUAUUGGGCAAACCGGCCAUUCUACGUGUUUGGUCUUGGAUCGGCAAGCUACAUCAGCGGUGUCAGGUUCUCUAGCUAGGUCCAGAAGAAUGAAGGAGUACAUGCCAUAGAUCGAGUUCGUGGUGGAUACAGGAGGUGUGAUCCACUUCACCAUGCUGGACCCGAAGGGCGCAAAGUCUAUCUCAUGAACUAGCCGUGCAUCUUGCUCAACACCUUUCCAUAUAUGUACAAUUAGGCAGGUAUUUCCUCGCGUACGCGGUUGCUGGCUGCUAGAUUAAACUUCUGUUUCAGAGCGUUCCAGGUUGUGUGAGUGCAUGUUUGACCAAUUGCAGUUUAUCCCGGCUAAGGUUCUACAUUGCAUGCCUCAAAUACCUGAUCAUGUGGCUUCCUUUCGUUAGCUUUGAGUACUCAAUGUAGAGGUUUCCCUUCUUGAGUCAUACAUACCUCAAACCGAUAGUUCUCUGUAACUUCACAAAUAUUUGGUGCGUGUAUAUAUCACUUUAUUUAGGAAAUACUCAAAUUGCAGAGUUUGUUUUAUUGUUAAUCACCUGAAUAACUUGGAUUACUCUGAAAUCAGACUCCCUUUUCGAAGCACAAUAGGACUUCUUUUUAUAGACACAUUUCAACUAUGGUGCUAAUAUCUUUUUUUCUGGGAAGUGCUAUAUACGUUAAGAUUCCUCCACCAUGUCUACCACACCUCUCAUCCUUUUCUAAGAUGUUGACUACUGAAUAAUGACCCAAGUUAACAAGAUUGGCAGAGGUUCUAUCUCAUACACUAAAUCUGUCAUCGAACCCAUCAUAGGUGCAUUGCAAGGGUUGAUAAUUGUUGUCAAUUCAGAAGGGGAAUUUGCCUCAUUAAAGAUACAGAUAAAAGAUUUUCUGACCUCAUAUCGAUUCUUACUUCCAUUCCUCAUGUGUCCUAUGUCUCACGUCUCUUACACGGGCAGAACGACCUGGGCCGUAGAUUAUAUGGUGAACGAGGGCGGUGGCAGCACUAGAGUGAGGCAUGGCUGGUUGAGGAAUAAUUUAUUUAAAUCAUUUACUUACAGACUAAUGUUCGCCAUGCUUCUUUUAGUGAACGCUUGUAAUUUUGUUUGAGAGCAUAUCAUGGGUGCACUACUAAUUUAUUAAUCUUAGCAAUGUAAUGUUAAUCCACCUAAUAUGACAUAAUAGCUAAAACUAGCAGACAUGCUUCCGUCUUCAUGGUGCUAUGGUAUUAAUCAUUUGGGAGUAAAUUUGCUAACCCAGAUCCUCAAAUCUACUUUUUUUCUAGAACUCUACAUCUCGAAGUCUGAGGCACUGGCAUACUUAGCCAUGCCAUUAAGAAGCCAAAUCCAUAGGUUGCGAGCGAGAUGUUUGUCCGCACUGUUGCUUGCCUGCCUGCCUGUGAAGCUUCACCACCAUGGGAAACCAUUUCAAGCCGCUCGAUGUACUCUUCUUUCUUCUGAUUGCAUGUUUUGUAUAUGUGGGUACUCGUAGUAUGUAUUAGGGUUAAUUGAUCAUUUGAUUCAGCCAUAGUAUUGAUGCCGCAUGUACAACAUGUUCCAGAUAUAUUUCUAGAAUAACCCGUGUCUAUAUAGGUUCAAGACUAUUACAGUCCAUGUCGUUUUGGUACUUGUAUGUUCAUACGGCCAACCAUUGGCCAGUAGUUGGUUGUGCAGCAGGAGAUGAUAUGACUUCAGUUCUUCUUCACAUAAACAUCUCGAUCCUUAUUUUUUCUUCAUACGGCCAACCAUUGGCCAGGUACUACUAUUCUAAAGUAACUGAAUUUAUCUUAUUUCAUUUGAUUAGUACUGUUGGGCUGCUGGUAGUUAUUGUUCAGAAGCCUGAUUGUAUAUUGAUGGUGAACUCUGUCUGUCUUUAUCCCAAUUUAAGAUGUUAUGGUGCUACACAACUGUAUAUAGCGUGAUAUGGAGGAACCAAAAGUGCCAGAAGCAUCACUUCAUUAAACAUUUAGGGAUGAAUCUUUUUUGGCAUAUGACGAAAUUUUGUUAAAGGUAGUUGUGUUAUUGAUCAGAACUACGUACAUAACAAUGCGACACAAUAUAAUUUGGCAUUUUCAAUGCUAGCACAUGGAGCGGCAAGAGGGAGGAGAGGAGCUACGGUGGCCAGGUAACUCGAGGAUGGAGGGGAAUUGGUGUAGAAUAAGCCUGCACUCUUCAAGAAAAUACAUAGGAUAAUUAUGAAACAAGAUGAACAAACAGCUAAGCCAGCUGAGGAGCGAUCUCCAGCAGCUCCCCGGUUGCCAGUGGUCAAGGAUUGUCUGCUGAAAGACAAACAAGUGAUCAUGUUCUAGCAUUGUUGAAAGGAGUAGUGAAUGUUGAUGUAUGUACAUUUUUUGUUCGGUGUAUUGGAAGUGCAAAUUUGUAUAUACUUUACUGGCAUUAUUUACUGGAUUUUAACAUA